UGGGGAAUUUUGGACAAUGGGCGAAAGCCUGAUCCAGCAAUGCCGCGUGUGUGAAGAAGGCCUUCGGGUUGUAAAGCACUUUUGUCCGGAAAGAAAUCCUUGGCUCUAAUACAGUCGGGGGAUGACGGUACCGGAAGAAUAAGCACCGGCUAACUACGUGCCAGCAGCCGCGGUAAUACGUAGGGUGCAAGCGUUAAUCGGAAUUACUGGGCGUAAAGCGUGCGCAGGCGGUUUGCUAAGACCGAUGUGAAAUCCCCGGGCUCAACCUGGGAACUGCAUUGGUGACUGGCAGGCUAGAGUAUGGCAGAGGGGGGUAGAAUUCCACGUGUAGCAGUGAAAUGCGUAGAGAUGUGGAGGAAUACCGAUGGCGAAGGCAGCCCCCUGGGCCAAUACUGACGCUCAUGCACGAAAGCGUGGGGAGCAAACAGGAUUAGAUACCCUGGUAGUCCACGCCCUAAACGAUGUCAACUAGUUGUUGGGGAUUCAUUUCCUAGUAACGUAGCUAACGCGUGAAGUUGACCGCCUGGGGAGUACGGUCGCAAGAUUAAAACU
Molecule: ribosomal RNA, 552 nt
Filed under: uncultured bacterium
Lineage: Bacteria
Description: partial 16S ribosomal RNA
Rfam family: Bacterial small subunit ribosomal RNA
Source: RNAcentral